GGGAAGGGAAGUGCGUCCGUAGGGGAGGGCCCACCUCUCCAGGUUGAAACGAUGGCGGUCAGAACCGCCUGAGCUAAAUGCAAGAUGGUAUGGCAUCCAGACUCUGCUCAUAAGUAUCUGCAGUGAUCCAUACCUUGAUUGUACAUCUACUCUGCAUCCUGAGGACCUGAACAUGCUAACUGGUGGCUGCAGAUUUGUCUUCUAAGGAGCAAGUGUGGUCUGUGGACAGGCAGCUUCAGCCUCACCUGGGAUUUUGUUUGCACUAGAAAGUGCCAAGCCCUACCCUAGACCUAUUAAAGCAGAACUGGCGUUUAACAAGACACCCCAGGUAAUUUGUGUGCACCUUAAAGUCUGAGAUGCACUAGUGUAGUGAUUCGCAGGGGGACAAUUUUGACCUCCAGGGGACAAUAUCUGGAGACAUUUUUGGGUGUCACAACGUGCUGGGGAGAGGGUGCUACUGGCAUCUAAUGGGCUGAGGCCAAGGGUGCUGCUAAACAUCCGGCGAUACCGGGCCAACCUCCCCCCUCCUCCUGCCCACAGUAAAGAAUUACCCCGCCUGGAUUGUCAGUAGUGCAGAGGUAGAGGAAACCCUACACCUGUGAAACUCAUCUGACCUUUACUAUGAAUUCCUGGAUCUCCUGGUGCAUAUCAUUUCUGUUGCCCUGGCUGACAUUUCCACCUUUUCUCUUUUCUAGAUUUUAUUACAAGAACUCAAUCUGUUGGUCUCUAGGAAUCACCUAUUGCCUUACUAUGUUUUGUUGAACCUGUUUUUGAAUCUGCUUUCUACAUUGGGGAAAUAGGUAUACGUUUGUAAACCUUAAAAGCUCUGUAUGCUAUAAGGAAAUCACCAGACACGUGGAUAAGCUUUGCAGAGGUGAAGGGCUGUCUCCACCAGAGAGACCCAGAAGGAGUCAGGGUAAGCCUGACUCAUCAUGAGAUCAGGUAUCCCCAAUCCACAGCGGACUUCCACAGUUCACCUUCCUAGGUAACCGCUCUGCCUUCCCAGGUAAAGUAGGAAUAAUAUCCGAACUUACAGCAUAUUUUGAGGUCAAAUUUGUAGAAUUUGGUGAUUUCAUUUUUAUUAUUACUCAACCUUUUAUUUACAACCAAAUUAAUAAGGCUACUUACACAUAACAAUGUGUGGACAUACACAUUAAGAGAAUCAUUCGCUGCCUAGCACUCCUACCUAGGUACUUUAAGAACAUCAUUGAGUGGAUACUCCCUCUGCUGGGUAAAAUACUUUGCCACAAUAUCAGCUGAAAUGAUACCUCUUCCAGACUGUAAUGGCAGAAGUAGUUAUCCCCACUUUUGUGCUGUCAUCACACUUGAUGCAUGCCUACUUUAUAAUACUUAAGCCAUUGUCUCUGUUAUUGGGUUUCUGUCUUCUACUGUGAAAGGGUGAGCCCAUAAAAAACAGGGAAUGUGUCUUUCAAAAUGUUGUAUCCUGCUCAUUCUGAUGUGAAGCCAUUGUCCUCCUUCAAUAAAAUAAAACAGCAUUUC
Molecule: long non-coding RNA, 1500 nt
Filed under: Pan troglodytes (chimpanzee)
Lineage: Eukaryota; Metazoa; Chordata; Mammalia; Primates; Hominidae
Description: lincRNA
Source: RNAcentral